RNAcentral lists this ribosomal RNA (234 nucleotides) under uncultured bacterium. RNAcentral describes it as "partial 16S ribosomal RNA". It matches the Rfam family "Bacterial small subunit ribosomal RNA", at positions 794 to 1024 of the family's 1533-position model. The record is from RNAcentral.
UCCUAGCAGUAAACGGUGCACGUUUGGUGUGGGCAGGUUCAGACCCUGUCCGUGCCGGAGCUAACGCGUUAAACGUGCCGCCUGGGAAGUACGGUCGCAAGAUUAAAACUCAAAGAAAUUGACGGGGGCCCGCACAAGCGGUGGAGUAUGUGGCUUAAUUCGAUGCAACGCGAAGAACCUUACCUGGUCUUGACAUGCACUGUGUCAUCGGUGAAAGCCGGUUAGUUGGUAGCA